UUUGUUUUGCUACAACAAUUCGAUCUAUGAAAUCCUCAUUUCAAUUAAAUCUUCAAAAAAUAAUAUAUGCAACCCAUGUUGAGAAGCAGGAAUAAUCUAAUCUCAGCAUGUUUUCUGCUAUGCUUCAUGACAUCUCUUUCCCUCGGAAAAGACACACUUUCCAAAGGAGAAUACAUCACAAAGAGCCAAACACUGAUCUCAAAGAUGGAAUCUUUGAAAUGGGAUUCAUCAAACCAUGCUCUCACAACACCAACUUAGGCACAUUUGGUACAAAGACUUCCCAAACAAAACUCUAGUUUGGGUGGCCAACAGUGAGAAGCCAUAUUGCCCCACACUUCCAAGAAUUUCAACCUCAAACUAUCUCCAAAUGGCAACUUAGAAUUGCACAAUGACCUUGAUCUCUUCUGGUCCACAAGUUUGAUCCCAACUCUAGCACAAACUGUUGAAGCAAGUGCUUCUUGAUAAUGGGAAUCUCAUGUUAAGAGAUGCAUCAAAGCCAAGUAGAGUAUUUUGGCAGAGUUUUGAUCAGCCUACUCAUGCUUGGCUAGCUGGAGCUGCAGUUGGCAGAGGGAAGCGCCUUGUCUCUUGGAAAAGCUCUUGUGAUCCUUCUGAGGGGCCCUUUUCCAUGGAGAUGGCUGCUGAAAAUCAUCGUUCUUUCGUGUUGAAGAAGGAGAUGUCAAGUGUGUAUUGGAAUGUGAAUGUGUUUCACUCAGCUCCUCAGCUUAGCUACUUUUACAAUUUCAGUUUCCAUUCAUAUGAGAAUGGGAGUUACAUGAAAUAUGAUGUGCUGAAUCCUCAUGUGUUAUCCAUGGUUGUGUUGGAUUCAUCAGGAAAUCUGAUGCAGUUUGUUUCUCUCAGAAGCAAGCGCAAUUGGACCACCGAGUUUGAGCUGCCUAAAGAGGUUUAUGACUUGUGUGCAGAUUGUGGGAAAAAAGGUUAGGGGUGUUUACUACUUAAUAUCACCGAUUUAUAUGCGCGUGUGUGCUUUUUAUGUGGGAUCGUAAGAAAAUACUGGAGGUGAUCAUUGCAGUGGUUUGUUUUCUCUGGUGGCGCUCUGCGCUGCUUUUACACAAGGAGGAACAGGCACAAAGAAGGCAAGGAACAUGGAGAUGAUCUUUUGUCGUACGAUUUCGACCUAAAUGUGGAGCACCAGCCAUCCUAUGAUGCAACAAGGGAAAACAACACACAAUUUGAUCUGCCCAUGUUUACUUAUUCAAGUGUUUCUGCAGCAACUAAUAACUUCUCACCAGAAAAAAAGCUUGGAGAGGGAGGAUUUGGACCAGUUUACAAGGGCAAAUUACUGAAUGGACUAGAAGUUGCCCUAAAGAGGCUCUCCAAGAAAUCCGGACAAGGCUUCGAGGAAUUCAGAUAUGAUAUCUUGCUUAUCGCAAAACUCCAGCACAGAAACCUUGUUCACCACUUAGGCUGCUGCACUGCCCCAGAUGAGAGCAUACUCAUCUAUGAGUACAUGCCUAAUAAGAGCCUUGACUUAUUCCUUUUUGGAUUAAUAAAUUAGAUUGGGCUACACGCGUUGGCAUUAUUGAAGGGAUUGCUCAAGGGUUACUCUAUCUCCAUGAGCACUCAAGGGUUUGUGUCAUCCAUAGAGAUUUGAAGGCGAGUAACAUUCUCCUAGAUGGUGAGAUGGUCCCCAAGAUUGCGGAUUUUGGCCUGGCCCGUAUCUUGAGGCAAUGAUUCGCGGACUCAAACGAAUAAGAUUGUUGGAACAUAAUAAGAUAACUCUUACAACUAUAUAUGUAGCCAUUGCAAGAAAACUGAUGUGGAUUUGGUUGUCUGGAAAUGUUAGUGGCUACAUGGCUCCUGAGUAUGCAUUGGAAGGCCUAUUCUCCAUAAAGUCAGAUGUGUUCAGCUUUGGAGUGUUGGUUCUUGAGAUUAUAAGUGGCAAGAAGAACACUGGCUUCUACCAAACUCACUCUCUCAAUCUUCUU
Molecule: RNA transcript, 1946 nt
Organism: Salvia splendens (bonfire salvia)
Lineage: Eukaryota; Viridiplantae; Streptophyta; Magnoliopsida; Lamiales; Lamiaceae
Gene name: putative G-type lectin S-receptor-like serine/threonine-protein kinase At1g61610
Exons: 4
Source: RefSeq, a predicted model, not a curated record